CGUAGGGGGCAAGCGUUGUCCGGAUUUACUGGGCGUAAAGAGCGUGUAGGCGGCCAGACAGGUCUGUUGUGAAAACUGGAGGCUUAACCUCCAGACGUCGACAGAAACCGUCUGGCUAGAGUCCGGAAGAGGAGAGUGGAAUUCCUGGUGUAGCGGUGAAAUGCGCAGAUAUCAGGAAGAACACCAAUGGCGAAGGCAGCUCUCUGGGACGGUACUGACGCUGAGACGCGAAAGCGUGGGGAGCGAACAGGAUUAGAUACCCUGGUAGUCCACGCCGUAAACGAUGGGUGCUAGGUGUGGGGGGUGUCGACUCCCUCCGUGCCGCAGCUAACGCAUUAAGCACCCCGCCUGGGGAGUACGGCCGCAAGGCUA
Molecule: ribosomal RNA, 372 nt
Filed under: uncultured organism
Description: bacterial SSU rRNA
Rfam family: Bacterial small subunit ribosomal RNA
Source: RNAcentral